This 282-nucleotide ribosomal RNA is filed under the name Triticum aestivum (bread wheat). RNAcentral's name for it is "partial small subunit ribosomal RNA". Lineage: Eukaryota; Viridiplantae; Streptophyta; Magnoliopsida; Poales; Poaceae. The record is from RNAcentral.
AUGGUGCAGCAGGCUUGGCAGGCAGCGGGCGCGGCGGUCAAGGCCAAGGGCACGUCGAGCGACGAUGACCUCAUCCGCCACCAACAACGAGAUACAAGUCCGCUUGCAAUUUUUGGGAGAAUAAACAGUUCCUUUGGGUUCAUCGCUCGGUUUUGUCCCUGCUAUGCUUACUGCUCCUACAUGGCUCUUCAGGGUUAUGGAUGGAGUGCGUUAUUUCAACGGUCCUCUAUUUUUUUUUGUUGCGUGUGCCUUCAGGUCCAUCAGAUUUUGCCUAUUCUCUGA